GUUCAUGCCUGUCAUUCCAGCUACAUGGGAGAUCAUACAUAGUAGGACCAAGGUCUGAGGCUCCCACCCUGGUCAAAAUCAUGAGAUGCUACCUGAAAAAUAACCAAAGCAAAAAAGGGCUGGGGGUGUAGCUCAAGUGGCAGAGUGCCUGCCUAGUUAAGUGUGAAGACCCAAGUUCAAACCCCAGUACUAUAAAACAACAAAACAACAACACAAAAAUAAUACAAAACAAGCAAAGAAUCCCUUCAAUGCCAGCUUUUGGUAAACUCCAGAAAAAGGAUACAUUUGGGUUGUGUGGAGGCAGGCUGUCUGCAUGUGUGCCCUGGCCCAGCCACUAUCCAACCUUGGGCAAUGCCUCAGUCUCUUUAUGCUUUGGUUUCUUUGUCUGUAACAUGGGGGCAGUAAUAGCAAUGGGCUGUGAUAAGGAUUGAACAGAUUUGAACAUGCCAACUGCUUUGAACGGUGACUUCACAGAGAAAAGUUCUCCAUGACCUAGACCGUUACAUUCUUACCAGUAGCUUUAUAGGUGCUAAUGAUUUUUGUUUCAAGGGAUUUUCAUUUUUAACUUCUUUUUGUUGAAAUUUCAGAGAGGUUUUUCUUUUUCUCAACUAAUAGGAAAUGAAGAUGACUGAUCAUAGAAGGAUGUCUAGACCAGAAAGUGUGUUGUUGUCUACAACACAGAGUGCAAAUGAAGAGCAGGAGCUCAUUCCCAAGAUAAGAGCCACCAAAGGACCCCAGGGCUCUGAAAUCAGGCUGCACCAUUACAACCUACUCCUUCAGCUGUGCAGAUGGAAGAAGGUUAAGAAAGGAACUGCCAACCACAAUGUGCAAACUGUCCAGGCUUUUGUUGUUUCUGUGUUGUUGUAA
This 867-nucleotide long non-coding RNA is filed under the name Castor canadensis (American beaver). RNAcentral describes it as "lncRNA (ENSCCNG00000013902.1)". Lineage: Eukaryota; Metazoa; Chordata; Mammalia; Rodentia; Castoridae. The record is from RNAcentral.